ACCUUAGAGACCAAGUAAGUUUGUUCUGGGUAUAAGCUUUUGCCUGUAUGCACACUUCUUCAGAUACCUGAAGACGUUAUUGUUAUCUGAAGAAGUGUGCAUGCACACAAAAGCUUAUACCCAGAACAAACUUACUUGGUCUCUAAGGU
Non-coding RNA from Podarcis lilfordi (Lilford's wall lizard), 149 nucleotides. NCBI's taxonomy places the organism in Eukaryota, Metazoa, Chordata, Lepidosauria, Squamata, Lacertidae. The record is from the annotation of a GenBank genome assembly.